ACCCUCUAGAUUCCUUAACUUCAGAUCUCAAUUCUGGACUGAGCAGUAAUAAAAGGAGCAAAAGUAAUACUGAAACGGACUUAAACUUCUUUUGUGAGACACGAGCAAGUUUCAAACAAAC
Molecule: small nucleolar RNA, 121 nt
Filed under: Echinops telfairi (small Madagascar hedgehog)
Lineage: Eukaryota; Metazoa; Chordata; Mammalia; Afrosoricida; Tenrecidae
Description: Small nucleolar RNA SNORA61 (ENSETEG00000025694.1)
Source: RNAcentral